CGCGGGGCAACCUGGCGGCGAGUGGCGAACGGGUGAGUAAUAUAUCGGAACGUACCCAGAAGUGGGGGAUAACGUAGCGAAAGUUACGCUAAUACCGCAUACGAUCUACGGAUGAAAGUGGGGGACCUUCGGGCCUCAUGCUUUUGGAGCGGCCGAUAUCUGAUUAGCUAGUUGGUGAGGUAAAGGCUCACCAAGGCAACGAUCAGUAGCUGGUCUGAGAGGACGACCAGCCACACUGGAACUGAGACACGGUCCAGACUCCUACGGGAGGCAGCAGUGGGGAAUUUUGGACAAUGGGCGCAAGCCUGAUCCAGCAAUGCCGCGUGAGUGAAGAAGGCCUUCGGGUUGUAAAGCUCUUUUGUCAGGGAAGAAACGGCUCCGGCUAAUAUCCGGGGCUAAUGACGGUACCUGAAGAAUAAGCACCGGCUAACUACGUGCCAGCAGCCGCGGUAAUACGUAGGGUGCAAGCGUUAAUCGGAAUUACUGGGCGUAAAGCGUGCGCAGGCGGUUUUGUAAGUCUGACGUGAAAGCCCCGGGCUCAACCUGGGAAUUGCGUUGGAGACUGCAAGGCUUGAAUCUGGCAGAGGGGGGUAGAAUUCCACGUGUAGCAGUGAAAUGCGUAGAGAUGUGGAGGAACACCGAUGGCGAAGGCAGCCCCCUGGGUCAAGAUUGACGCUCAUGCACG
This 685-nucleotide ribosomal RNA is filed under the name Massilia sp. RNAcentral describes it as "bacterial SSU rRNA". It matches the Rfam family "Bacterial small subunit ribosomal RNA", at positions 72 to 755 of the family's 1533-position model. Lineage: Bacteria; Pseudomonadati; Pseudomonadota; Betaproteobacteria; Burkholderiales; Oxalobacteraceae. The record is from RNAcentral.